GAUUUCUGACUUGGUGCGCCUAGCCCGCCGGCGUCAGCCGUGUGUGUGCUGGUGCGCGUCGUGUCAUCCUUGUAGAAAUCUCGCGUACCCUUCACUGGGUGGCGCGAGCGAUCUACAUCUUUUACUUUGAAAAAAUUAGAGUGUUCAAAGCAGGCUUACGCUGUGAAUACAUUAGCAUGGAAUAAUAAUUUAGGACUUCGGUUCCUAUUUUGUUGGUUUCUAGGACUGAAGUAAUGAUUGAUAGGGAUAGUUGGGGGUGCUAGUAUUCAGCGGCCAGAGGUGAAAUUCUUGGAUUCGCUGAAGACUAACUAAUGCGAAAGCAUU
Molecule: ribosomal RNA, 324 nt
Filed under: uncultured Imbricatea
Lineage: Eukaryota; Cercozoa; Imbricatea
Description: SSU rRNA
Rfam family: Eukaryotic small subunit ribosomal RNA (bases 111-324)
Source: RNAcentral